AACGUAGGAGGCAAGCGUUAUCCGGAUUUACUGGGCGUAAAGCGCAUGUAGGUGGUUCCGUAAGUUGGAUGUGAAAGCUCCUGGCUCAACUGGGAGAGGUCGUUCAAGACUGCGGGACUUGAGAGUGGUAGAGGGAGGUGGAAUUCCGGGUGUAGUGGUGAAAUGCGUAGAUAUCCGGAGGAACACCAGUGGCGAAAGCGGCCUCCUGGACCAUUUCUGACACUCAGAUGCGAAAGCUAAGGUAGCAAACGGG
This 253-nucleotide ribosomal RNA is filed under the name uncultured bacterium. RNAcentral's name for it is "partial 16S ribosomal RNA". It matches the Rfam family "Bacterial small subunit ribosomal RNA", at positions 524 to 776 of the family's 1533-position model. The record is from RNAcentral.